This 72-nucleotide transfer RNA is filed under the name Patescibacteria group bacterium. RNAcentral describes it as "tRNA-Arg". It matches the Rfam family "tRNA". Rfam says of the family: Transfer RNA (tRNA) molecules are approximately 80 nucleotides in length. Their secondary structure includes four short double-helical elements and three loops (D, anti-codon, and T loops). The record is from RNAcentral.
GCUCCUGUAGUUCAAUGGAUAGAACAGGGGUUUCCUAAACCUCAGAUGGAGGUUCAAUUCCUCCCGGGAGCA